CCUUUGACGUUAGCGGCGGACGGGUGAGUAACACGUGGGUAACCUACCUAUAAGACUGGGAUAACUUCGGGAAACCGGAGCUAAUACCGGGUAAUAUUUCGAACCGCAUGGUUCGAUAGUGAAAGGUGGUUUUGCUAUCACUUAUAGAUGGACCCGCGCCGUAUUAGCUAGUUGGUAAGGUAACGGCUUACCAAGGCGACGAUACGUAGCCGACCUGAGAGGGUGAUCGGCCACACUGGAACUGAGACACGGUCCAGACUCCUACGGGAGGCAGCAGAU
RNAcentral lists this ribosomal RNA (279 nucleotides) under uncultured Staphylococcus sp. Its description in RNAcentral is "partial 16S ribosomal RNA". It matches the Rfam family "Bacterial small subunit ribosomal RNA", at positions 83 to 354 of the family's 1533-position model. Lineage: Bacteria; Bacillati; Bacillota; Bacilli; Caryophanales; Staphylococcaceae. The record is from RNAcentral.